UCGGGGUUCGUUCAACGGUAGGACGCGAGUUUUUGGUACUCGCUAUGGGGGUUCGAUUCCCUCACCCCGAACCA
This 74-nucleotide transfer RNA is filed under the name Myxococcales bacterium. RNAcentral's name for it is "tRNA-Gln". It matches the Rfam family "tRNA". From Rfam's summary of the family: Transfer RNA (tRNA) molecules are approximately 80 nucleotides in length. Lineage: Bacteria; Pseudomonadati; Myxococcota; Myxococcia; Myxococcales. The record is from RNAcentral.